AUGUGUGUACCAGAAAACCAAGAUGGACCGCGAUUCCGUGAUAUCCACUGUUUCAACCUGGCUUUGCCCGCCAAACAAGCAUGGCGUCUUAAUGAUAAUCCUGACUCCUUGUGUGCCACUAUUCUGAGGGCCAAGUACUACCCUGAUGGCGAUUUGCUGAAGUCUAAGCCAAAGCAUGGCACUUCUUUCACCUGGGAGAGCAUUAUGGCAGGUAUAACUACUCUGAAACAUGGCUAUAUUUGGCGAGUGGGUAACGGACAUAACAUCAAUAUCUGGGAAGAUGCCUGGAUCCCAAAAUGUGUCACUAGGAGGAUUGUGACCCCUAGGGGGAGCCAUUUGCUAUCAAAAGUGAGUGACCUAAUUGAUCCUGCUUCCAACAAUUGGGACGAGGAACUGAUUAGACAAACUAUGUGGCCCAUUGACGCACAACGAAUUCUUUCAAUCCCACUUUCGCAAUAUGAUAUGACAGAUUUCAUUGCCUGGAGUUACACAAAAAAUGGUAUGUUCUCGAUGAGGUCUACUUACUCAGUGGAAUGGAAUUAUCAGUAUGGGAGUAGACUCAAAUAUUCUAAUGGGAUGGGGCGAAUCACACCAAAUCCUGUUUGGCGUCAGAUAUGGAAGUUAUCCUGCCCAGCAAAAGUUAAAAAAAGUUAUAUGGCCUACAUUACAUGGCACUCUCCCAUGUUGGGUAACACUCGCUAA
RNAcentral lists this ribosomal RNA (702 nucleotides) under Triticum aestivum (bread wheat). Its description in RNAcentral is "partial small subunit ribosomal RNA". The record is from RNAcentral. Lineage: Eukaryota; Viridiplantae; Streptophyta; Magnoliopsida; Poales; Poaceae.